AGAGUUGUAUCCUGGCUCAGAUUGAACGCUGGCGGCAUGCCUUACACAUGCAAGUCGAACGGUAACGCGGGGCAACCUGGCGACGAGUGGCAAACGGGUGAGUAAUGCAUCGGAACGUGCCCAGUAGUGGGGGAUAGCCCGGCGAAAGCCGGAUUAAUACCGCAUACGACCUACGGGUGAAAGCGGGGGACUCGCAAGAGCCUCGCGCUAUUGGAGCGGCCGAUGUCAGAUUAGCUAGUUGGUGGGGUAAAAGCCUACCAAGGCGACGAUCUGUAGCUGGUCUGAGAGGACGACCAGCCACACUGGGACUGAGACACGGCCCAGACUCCUACGGGAGGCAGCAGUGGGGAAUUUUGGACAAUGGGCGCAAGCCUGAUCCAGCCAUGCCGCGUGCGGGAAGAAGGCCUUCGGGUUGUAAACCGCUUUUGUCAGGGAAGAAACGCUCUGGGCUAAUACCCUGGGGUAAUGACGGUACCUGAAGAAUAAGCACCGGCUAACUACGUGCCAGCAGCCGCGGUAAUACGUAGGGUGCAAGCGUUAAUCGGAAUUACUGGGCGUAAAGCGUGCGCAGGCGGUUAUACAAGACAGAUGUGAAAUCCCCGGGC
This 605-nucleotide ribosomal RNA is filed under the name uncultured beta proteobacterium. RNAcentral describes it as "bacterial SSU rRNA". It matches the Rfam family "Bacterial small subunit ribosomal RNA", at positions 8 to 608 of the family's 1533-position model. The record is from RNAcentral. Lineage: Bacteria; Pseudomonadati; Pseudomonadota; Betaproteobacteria.